Molecule: ribosomal RNA, 253 nt
Filed under: uncultured bacterium
Lineage: Bacteria
Description: partial 16S ribosomal RNA
Rfam family: Bacterial small subunit ribosomal RNA
Source: RNAcentral
UACGUAGGGGGCAAGCGUUGUCCGGAAUCAUUGGGCGUAAAGCGCGUGUAGGCGGUUCUGUAAGUCUGCUGUGAAAGUCCAGGGCUCAACCCUGGGAUGCCGGUGGAUACUGCAGGGCUAGAGUACGGAAGAGGCGAGUGGAAUUCCUGGUGUAGCGGUGAAAUGCGCAGAUAUCAGGAGGAACACCAAUGGCGAAGGCAGCACUCUGGGACGUGACUGACGCUGAGACGCGAAAGCGUGGGGAGCAAACAGG